CGGAGGAUGCAAGCGUUAUCCGGAAUGAUUGGGCGUAAAGCGUCCGCAGGUGGCUAUGUAAGUCUGCUGUUAAAGGGUCUAGCUCAACUAGAUAAGAGCAGUGGAAACUACAUGGCUAGAGUGCGUUCGGGGCAGAGGGAAUUCCUGGUGUAGCGGUGAAAUGCGUAGAGAUCAGGAAGAACACCGGUGGCGAAGGCGCUCUGCUAGGCCGCAACUGACACUGAGGGACGAAAGCUAGGGGAGCGAAUGGGAUUAGAUACCCCAGUAGUCCUAGCCGUAAACGAUGGAUACUAGGCGUGGCUUGUAUCGACCCGAGCCGUGCCGUAGCUAACGCGUUAAGUAUCCCGCCUGGGGAGUACGCCGGCAACGGUG
This 372-nucleotide ribosomal RNA is filed under the name uncultured organism. RNAcentral's name for it is "bacterial SSU rRNA". It matches the Rfam family "Bacterial small subunit ribosomal RNA", at positions 526 to 896 of the family's 1533-position model. The record is from RNAcentral.